AUUCCACUGUGUUGACACUUUUUGACAAUCUCCUUAAACCUCUCCCAAGAUUUAAAUACAGUUUCAGUCUUGUUCUGGUAAAAGUUAUAGAUUUCUCUUCUAAACUU
This 107-nucleotide small nucleolar RNA is filed under the name Nicotiana sylvestris (wood tobacco). Its description in RNAcentral is "Plant small nucleolar RNA R71". It matches the Rfam family "Plant small nucleolar RNA R71". Rfam says of the family: R71 is a member of the C/D box family of snoRNAs containing the C (UGAUGA) and D (CUGA) box motifs. Multiple nearly identical copies of this snoRNA have been identified in Arabidopsis, and it is thought to function as a 2'-O-ribose methylation guide for 18S ribosomal RNA. Lineage: Eukaryota; Viridiplantae; Streptophyta; Magnoliopsida; Solanales; Solanaceae. The record is from Rfam by way of RNAcentral. RNAcentral also lists the same sequence under 1 other name.